RNAcentral lists this ribosomal RNA (496 nucleotides) under uncultured bacterium. RNAcentral describes it as "partial 16S ribosomal RNA". It matches the Rfam family "Bacterial small subunit ribosomal RNA", at positions 28 to 507 of the family's 1533-position model. The record is from RNAcentral.
GAUGAACGCUGGCGGCGUGCCUAAUACAUGCAAGUCGAGCGAACAGACGAGGAGCUUGCUCCUCUGACGUUAGCGGCGGACGGGUGAGUAACACGUGGAUAACCUACCUAUAAGACUGGGAUAACUUCGGGAAACCGGAGCUAAUACCGGAUAAUAUAUUGAACCGCAUGGUUCAAUAGUGAAAGACGGUUUUGCUGUCACUUAUAGAUGGAUCCGCGCCGCAUUAGCUAGUUGGUAAGGUAACGGCUUACCAAGGCAACGAUGCGUAGCCGACCUGAGAGGGUGAUCGGCCACACUUGAACUGAGACACGGUCCAGACUCCUACGGGAGGCAGCAGUAGGGAAUCUUCCGCAAUGGGCGAAAGCUUGACGGAGCAACGCCGCGUGAGUGAUGAAGGUCUUCGGAUCGUAAAACUCUGUAUUAGGGAAGAACAAAUGUGUAAGUAACUAUGCACGUCUUGACGGUACCUAAUCAGAAAGCCACGGCUAACUACGUG